This 1360-nucleotide ribosomal RNA is filed under the name metagenome. Its description in RNAcentral is "SSU rRNA". It matches the Rfam family "Eukaryotic small subunit ribosomal RNA", at positions 483 to 1774 of the family's 1831-position model. The record is from RNAcentral.
AUACUGGAUCUGAAAGAUCUGGUAAUUGGAAUGAGCACAAUUUAAAUCCCUUAGCGAGGAUCCAUUGGAGGGCAAGUCUGGUGCCAGCAGCCGCGGUAAUUCCAGCUCCAAUAGCGUAUACUAAAAUUGUUGCAGUUAAAAAGCUCGUAGUUGGAUUUCUGGCAUUGAGAAGCCUGUUCCGUCCCUUGUCUAAGGCGAGACGGUCCACCUCUGCUUGCUUCGGUGAGUGGGGGAGGAUUGUUUCGCAGGACAGAGAUGUGUUGAACUGUUGCUUUUCUGCCAUCAUUCGUGGAGAACAGUCCGGCUCUUAACUGAGCUGGGCUGCAAUCCCGAUCAUUUACUUUGAAAAAAUUAGAGUGUUCAAAGCAGGCUUAUGCUGUGAAUACAUUAGCAUGGAAUAACAAGAUAGGACUUGACGUCCUAUUUUUGUUGGUUUCUAGGACACAAGCCACGAUUGAUAGGGAUCGUUGGGGGUGCUAGUAUUCAGCGGCCAGAGGCGAAAUUCUGUGAUUCGCUGAGGACUAACAAAUGCGAAAGCAUUCACCAAGGAGGUCUUCUUUAAUCAAGAACGAAAGUUGAGGGAUCGAAGACGAUCAGAUACCGUCGUAGUCUCAACUAUAAACGAUGCCAACUAGGGAUUGGUGGGCGUUAGACAUUACUCAUGACCCCAUCAGCACCUUAUGAGAAAUUAAGAGUCUUUGGGUUCCGGGGGAAUCCGAUCGCAAGGUUGAAACUUAAAGGAAUUGACGGAAGGACACCACCAGGAGUGGAGCCUGCGGCUUAAUUUGACCCAACACGGGAAAACUCACCAGGUCCAGACAUAAUGAGGAUUGACAGAUUGAAGAUCUUUCUUGAUUUUAUGGUUGGUGGUGCAUGGUCGUUCUUAGUUGGUGGAGUGAUUUGUCUGGUUAAUUCCGUUAACGAACGAGACCUCAGCCUGCUAACUAGUCGGGCGAAUUCUUGAAAGAGAAUUCGCAUUUCAACCGACUUCUUAGAGGGACUUUUGGCUUCUAGCCAAAGGAAGUUUGAGGCAAUAACAGGUCUGUGAUGCCCUUAGAUGUUCUGGGCUGCACGUGCGCUACACUGUUGUGUUCGGCGAGCUUACUCACCCUUGAUCGAAAGGUCUGGGUAAUCUUUCAAAGCACAACGUGAUGGGGCUAGAUCAUUGUAAUUAUUGAUCUUCAACGAGGAAUUCCUAGUAAGCGCAAGUCAUCAGCUUGCACUGAUUACGUCCCUGCCCUUUGUACACACCGCCCGUCGCUCCUACCGAUUGAAUGAUCCGGUGAAAUCUUCGGACCUUCACAUGGGCUUGAGCUUGCUCAGGUCCAAGUGAUGGGAAGUUGAGUAAACCUUAUCAUUU